UACGUAGGUGGCAAGCGUUGUCCGGAUUUACUGGGCGUAAAGGGAGCGUAGGCGGACUUUUAAGUGAGAUGUGAAAUACUCGGGCUCAACUUGAGUGCUGCAUUUCAAACUGGAAGUCUAGAGUGCAGGAGAGGAGAAUGGAAUUCCUAGUGUAGCGGUGAAAUGCGUAGAGAUUAGGAAGAACACCAGUGGCGAAGGCGAUUCUCUGGACUGUAACUGACGCUGAGGCUCGAAAGCGUGGGGAGCAAACAGG
This 253-nucleotide ribosomal RNA is filed under the name uncultured bacterium. RNAcentral describes it as "partial 16S ribosomal RNA". It matches the Rfam family "Bacterial small subunit ribosomal RNA", at positions 524 to 776 of the family's 1533-position model. The record is from RNAcentral.